UACGGAGGGGGCGAGCGUUGUUCGGAAUUACUGGGCGUAAAGGGCGCGUAGGCGGCCAACUAAGUCCGACGUGAAAUCCCCAGGCUCAACCUGGGAACUGCGUCUGAUACUGGAUGGCUUGAAUCCGGGAGAGGGAUGCAGAAUUCCAGGUGUAGCGGUGAAAUGCGUAGAUAUCUGGAGGAACACCGGUGGCGAAGGCGCACAUCUGGCCCGAUACUGACGCUGAGGCGCGAAAGCUUGGGGAGCAAACGGG
This 253-nucleotide ribosomal RNA is filed under the name uncultured bacterium. RNAcentral's name for it is "partial 16S ribosomal RNA". It matches the Rfam family "Bacterial small subunit ribosomal RNA", at positions 524 to 776 of the family's 1533-position model. The record is from RNAcentral.